Molecule: unclassified non-coding RNA, 378 nt
Filed under: plant metagenome
Description: partial contains 5.8S ribosomal RNA, internal transcribed spacer 2, and large subunit ribosomal RNA
Rfam family: 5.8S ribosomal RNA (bases 1-105)
Source: RNAcentral
GAAAUGCGAUAAGUAAUGUGAAUUGCAGAAUUCAGUGAAUCAUCGAAUCUUUGAACGCACCUUGCGCUCCUUGGUAUUCCUUGGAGCAUGCCUGUUUGAGUAUCAUGAAAUCUUCAAAGUAAAUAUUUUGUUAACUCAAUUGGUUUCUACUUUGGUAUUGGAGGUCUUUGCAGCUUCACACCUGCUCCUCUUUGUUCAUUAGCUGGAUCUCAGUGUUAUGCUUGGUUCCACUCGGCGUGAUAAGUUAUCUAUCGCUGAGGACACUGUAAAAGGUGGCCAAGGUAAAUGCAGAUGAACCGCUUCUAAUAGUCCAUUGACUUGGACAAUACUUUUAUGAUCUGAUCUCAAAUCAGGUAGUACUACCCGCUGAACUUAAGC